Oncorhynchus tshawytscha (Chinook salmon) is the source of this 643-nucleotide long non-coding RNA. RefSeq lists it as uncharacterized. The transcript has 3 exons. The record is from RefSeq and is a predicted model, not a curated record. Lineage: Eukaryota; Metazoa; Chordata; Actinopteri; Salmoniformes; Salmonidae.
GAACCUGGCUGUGGACAUAAAGCUAGGGUUGAGGUUAGAGUUGAACCUGGAUGUGGACAUGAAGCUAGGUUUGAGGUUAGAGUUGAACCUGGCUGUGGACAUAAAGCUAGGGUUGAGGUUAGAGUUGAACCUGGACAUGAAGCUAGGGUUGAGGUUAGAGUUGAACCUGGCUGUGGACAUGAAGCUAGGAAUGAGGUUAGAGUUGAACCUGGCUGUGGACAUAAAGCUAGGGUUGAGGUUAGAGUUGAACCUGGCUGUGGACAUGAAGCUAGGGUUGAGGUUAGAGUUGAACCUGGACAUGAAGCUAGGGUUGAGGUUAGAGUUGAACCUGGCUGUGGACAUGAAGCUAGGGUUGAGGUUAGAGUUGAACCUGGCUGUGGACAUGAAGCUAGGAUUGAGGUUAGAGUUGAACCUGGAUGUGGACAUGAAGCUAGGAAUGAGGUUAGAGUUGAACCUGGCUGUGGACAUGAAGCUAGGAAUGAGGUUAGAGUUGAACCUGGACAUGAAGCUAGGGUUGAGGUUAGAGUUGAACCUGGCUGUGGACAUGAUGCUAGGGUUGAGGUUAGAGUUGAACCUGGCUGUGGACAUGAUGCUAGGGUUGAGGUUAGGACACACUACUUCUGAACAGUUUGAAUUCCUUCCC